AUACAGUAGAGAGGCUAUAUACAGUAGAGGCUAUAGACAGUAGAGAGGCUAUAUACAGUAGAGAGGCUAUAUACAGUAGAGAGGUUAUAUACAGUAGAGAGGUUAUAUACAGUAGAGGUUAUAUACAGUAGAGAGGCUGUAUACAGUAGAGAGGCUAUAUACAGUAGAGAGGUUAUAUACAGUAGAGAGGUUAUAUACAGUAGAGGUUAUAUACAGUAGAGAGGCUGUAUACAGUAGAGAGGCUAUAUACAGUAGAGAGGUUAUAUACAGUAGAGAGGUUAUAUACAGUAGAGGUUAUAUACAGUAGAGAGGCUGUAUACAGUAGAGAGGCUAUAUACAGUAGAGAGGUUAUAUACAGUAGAGAGGUUAUAUACAGUAGAGA
Molecule: long non-coding RNA, 382 nt
Organism: Oncorhynchus keta (chum salmon)
Lineage: Eukaryota; Metazoa; Chordata; Actinopteri; Salmoniformes; Salmonidae
Exons: 4
Source: RefSeq, a predicted model, not a curated record